CCUACGGGGUGCAGCAGUGGGGAAUAUUGGGCAAUGGGCGAAAGCCUGACCCAGCAACGCCGCGUGAAUGAAGAAGGCUUUCGGGUUGUAAACUUCUUUUGACAGGGAAGAGCAGCAGACGAUAUCUCUCGAAUACGCCACGGCUAACCACGUGCCAGCAGCCGCGGUAAUACGUAGGUGGCAAGCGUUGUCCGGAUUUACUGGGUGUAAAGGGCGUGUAGCCGGGCUGACAAGGCAGAUGUGAAAUCCGGGGGCUCAACCCCCGAACUGCAUUUGAAACUGUUGGUCUUGAGUAUCGGAGAGGCAGGCGGAAUUCCUAGUGUAGCGGUGAAAUGCUUAGAGAUCAUACAGAACACCGAUGGCGAAGGCAGCUUACCAGGCUACUUCUGACGUUGAGGCACGAAAGCGUGGGGAGCAAACAGGAUUAGAUACCCGUGUAGUC
Molecule: ribosomal RNA, 442 nt
Filed under: uncultured bacterium
Lineage: Bacteria
Description: partial 16S ribosomal RNA
Rfam family: Bacterial small subunit ribosomal RNA
Source: RNAcentral